UACGUAGGUGGCGAGCGUUGUCCGGAUUUACUGGGCGUAAAGGGAGCGUAGGCGGACUUUUAAGUGAGAUGUGAAAUACUCGGGCUCAACUUGAGUGCUGCAUUUCAAACUGGAAGUCUAGAGUGCAGGAGAGGAGAAUGGAAUUCCUAGUGUAGCGGUGAGAUGCGUAGAGAUUAGGAAGAACACCAGUGGCGAAGGCGAUUCUCUGGACUGUAACUGACGCUGAGGCUCGAAAGCGUGGGGAGCAAGCAGG
Molecule: ribosomal RNA, 253 nt
Filed under: uncultured bacterium
Lineage: Bacteria
Description: partial 16S ribosomal RNA
Rfam family: Bacterial small subunit ribosomal RNA
Source: RNAcentral